AAAUGAAUUGACGGGGACCCGCACAAGCAGCGGAGCAUGUGGUUUAAUUCGAAGCAACGCGAAGAACCUUACCAAGGCUUGACAUCCCCUGAAUGCCCGUGAAAGCGGGAGGUCCCUUCGGGGACAGGGAGACAGGUGGUGCAUGGUUGUCGUCAGCUCGUGUCGUGAGAUGUUGGGUUAAGUCCCGCAACGAGCGCAACCCUUGUUGAUAGUUACCAGUAUUAAGUUAGGGACUCUAUCGAGACUGCCGUGGACAACACGGAGGAAGGUGGGGACGACGUCAAAUCAUCAUGCCCCUUAUGUCUUGGGCUACACACGUGCUACAAUGGCCGCAACAGAGGGCAGCGAAGGCGCAAGCCGGAGCGAAUCUCAAAAAAGCGGUCUCAGUUCAGAUUGUGGGCUGCAACCCGCCCGCAUGAAGACGGAGUUGCUAGUAAUCGCGAAUCAGCAUGUCGCGGUGAAUGCGUUCCCGGGUCUUGUACACACCGCCCGU
This 493-nucleotide ribosomal RNA is filed under the name uncultured bacterium. RNAcentral's name for it is "bacterial SSU rRNA". It matches the Rfam family "Bacterial small subunit ribosomal RNA", at positions 903 to 1397 of the family's 1533-position model. The record is from RNAcentral.